Planococcus citri (citrus mealybug) is the source of this 880-nucleotide long non-coding RNA. RefSeq lists it as uncharacterized. The transcript is spliced from 3 exons. Lineage: Eukaryota; Metazoa; Arthropoda; Insecta; Hemiptera; Pseudococcidae. The record is from RefSeq and is a predicted model, not a curated record.
GGUAUGAAGAAAAUAAAACUCUAUUGACAGUUAUUGGGACUUUGGUUCUGUUCUCAUUGGGUGCUGCCACUAUUGUAAUAUGUAUUUGCUACAAAUUCAAAAAGUAUGCAGAAUUCAUCCUUCUCUACCUAUCUUUUUCAAUUAAAUCUGUAUUUAUUUUUAUACUUAUCUUAAUCAAAAAACAAUGAACUCAUUGAUCGAUUAUUUUCAUUUUUGCUAAUGAAGAAAAGAAGAAAUGCUCGAGAUGGAAAUGGCCAAAGCAACAGUUUUAACACAAUGUGUAAUCAAAAAAAUUAUAAUUGAAAAACACAACAGAGGAAAUGACAUUUUAGAUUUUCCCAGAGUAAAAAUAGAAGAGCGCAUGGUUACUCGUGCACUGGAUGACUAUCCUGAAACACACGCCAUCAGGAAAGGUUCAUUUUCAACAAUAGUUUAUGAAAUACCACCCGAUGAAGAUUAUGAUUUUCCUUUGAACAAUUUGGAACUCGGUGAAAUAAUUGGUAGCGGAGAAUUUGGGCAAGUUUUCAAAGCAAAAGCACAUGGUAUCUUGAAAACAAAUGUCACCACUGUUGUUGCUGUUAAAACGUUGAAAGCGGAACAUUCGGAUGCUGAUUUGCAAGAUUUAAUUACUGAAAUGGAGAUUAUGAAAAUGAUCGGCAAACAUGAAAACGUUCUCCACCUAUUGGGAAGUUGCACUGUUGGUGGAGUUGUACGAGUAAUCACAGAAUAUGCUGCUAAUGGGAAUUUGCUGAAUUACCUCAGAACCUACAACUGUCAAUUAAUUUCACUUGAUUCGAGUUAUGCACGAAGCAACCCUGGGGAAGAUCGUUUGAUUAGGUUUGCCUACGAAGUAGCUAAAGGAAUGGAGUUUUUAGCUUCC